AAACCAGCACCUCAAGUGGUCAGGAUGAUUAUUGGGCCUAAAGCAUCCGCAGCCUGCUGUAUAAGUUUUCGGUUAAAUCCAUACGCUCAACGUAUGGGCUGCCGGGAAUACUGUACAGCUAGGGAGUGGGAGAGGUAGACGGUACUCGGUAGGAAGGGGUAAAAUCCUUUGAUCUAUUGAUGACCACCUGUGGCGAAGGCGGUCUACCAGAACACGUUCGACGGUGAGGGAUGAAAGCUGGGGGAGCAAACCGGAUUAGAUACCCCAGUAGUCC
Molecule: ribosomal RNA, 274 nt
Filed under: uncultured bacterium
Lineage: Bacteria
Description: partial 16S ribosomal RNA
Rfam family: Archaeal small subunit ribosomal RNA
Source: RNAcentral